RNAcentral lists this ribosomal RNA (382 nucleotides) under uncultured Alphaproteobacteria bacterium. RNAcentral describes it as "bacterial SSU rRNA". It matches the Rfam family "Bacterial small subunit ribosomal RNA", at positions 9 to 419 of the family's 1533-position model. Lineage: Bacteria; Pseudomonadati; Pseudomonadota; Alphaproteobacteria. The record is from RNAcentral.
GAGUUUGAUCAUGGCUCAGAACGAACGCUGGCGGCAGGCUUAACACAUGCAAGUCGAGCGCUGUAGCAAUACAGAGCGGCGCACGGGAGAGUAAUACGUGGGAACCUACCUUUUGGUUCGGAAUAACGUCGGGAAACUGACGCUAAUACCGGAUAAGCCCUUACGGGGAAAGAUUUAUCGCCGAUAGAUGGGCCCACGUUGGAUUAGCUAGUUGGUGAGGUAACGGCUCACCAAGGCAACGAUCCAUAGCUGGUCUGAGAGGAUGAUCAGCCUCACUGGGACUGAGACACGGCCCAGACUCCUACGGGAGGCAGCAGUGGGGAAUAUUGGACAAUGGGGGCAACCCUGAUCCAGCCAUGCCGCGUGAGUGAUGAAGGCCUUC